ACGGAGGAUGCGAGCGUUAUCCGGAUUUAUUGGGUUUAAAGGGAGCGCAGACGGGUGAUUAAGUCAGCUGUGAAAGUUUGCGGCUCAACCGUAAAAUUGCAGUUGAAACUGGUUAUCUUGAGUGCAGUUGAGGUGGGCGGAAUUCGUGGUGUAGCGGUGAAAUGCUUAGAUAUCACGAAGAACCCCGAUUGCGAAGGCAGCUCACUAAACUGCAACUGACGUUCAUGCUCGAAAGUGUGGGUAUCAAACAGG
Molecule: ribosomal RNA, 252 nt
Filed under: uncultured bacterium
Lineage: Bacteria
Description: partial 16S ribosomal RNA
Rfam family: Bacterial small subunit ribosomal RNA
Source: RNAcentral